Non-coding RNA from Parelaphostrongylus tenuis, 73 nucleotides. The record is from the annotation of a GenBank genome assembly. Lineage: Eukaryota; Metazoa; Nematoda; Chromadorea; Rhabditida; Metastrongylidae.
GCGUCGGAAGUGCAACGGUUCAGCGCGCGCUACCGGAACGAGUGAGAUCUGAGUUCGAAUCGCAGCUGAUGCA